RNAcentral lists this ribosomal RNA (422 nucleotides) under uncultured archaeon. RNAcentral's name for it is "partial 16S ribosomal RNA". It matches the Rfam family "Archaeal small subunit ribosomal RNA", at positions 323 to 746 of the family's 1478-position model. The record is from RNAcentral.
CUACGGGCUGCACCAGUUAGGAAUAUUUUGCAAUGCGCGCAAGCGUGACAAAUUGAGCCAGAGUGAUUUUCAUAUUGAAAAUCUUUUGUGGAAUGUAAAAAGUUUCACGAAUAAGGACUGGGUAAGACUAGUGCCAGCCGCCGCGGUAAUACUAGCGGUCCAAGUCGCAGCCAUUUUUAUUGGGUCUAAAACAUCCGUAGCUUGUUUGAUAAGUUUCUUGUGAAAUCUGAUAUCUCAAAUAUCAGGCGUGCAAGAAGUACUGUCAAGCUAGAGACUGGAAGACGUGAGAAGUACGUUUAAAGUAGCGGUAAAAUGUGUUAAUCUUAAACGGACUUACAAUAGCGAAGGCAUCUCACGAGGACAGUUCUGACAGUAAGGGAUGAAGGCUAGGGGCGCAAAACGGAUUAGAUACCCUGGUAGUC